Molecule: transfer RNA, 70 nt
Filed under: Olisthops cyanomelas (herring cale)
Lineage: Eukaryota; Metazoa; Chordata; Actinopteri; Labriformes; Odacidae
Description: tRNA-Tyr
Rfam family: tRNA
About the family: Transfer RNA (tRNA) molecules are approximately 80 nucleotides in length. Their secondary structure includes four short double-helical elements and three loops (D, anti-codon, and T loops).
Source: RNAcentral
GGUAGGAUGGCCGAGUGAUAGGCGGUGGCUUGUAGCUCCAUAAACAGAGGUUUAAUUCCUCUUCUUACCA